CCCAUGAAGAGAUGGAAAACCAAGACAUUUAAAGAAAUAAAUAUAGCACAGGCAGCAGCAGUGCAAGCUUCCCCUGCAUUGCCUUGUGAAUGUAACUCAACCUGGAUCUGAAAGGACCUGUUUGGGAGAUAAGGUAGUUCAACCUCCAUGGUCCAUUUGCUACU
This 164-nucleotide small RNA is filed under the name Chelonoidis abingdonii (Abingdon island giant tortoise). RNAcentral describes it as "TUC338 (ENSCABG00000009036.1)". The record is from RNAcentral. Lineage: Eukaryota; Metazoa; Chordata; Testudines; Testudinidae.